RNAcentral lists this ribosomal RNA (274 nucleotides) under uncultured bacterium. RNAcentral's name for it is "partial 16S ribosomal RNA". It matches the Rfam family "Bacterial small subunit ribosomal RNA", at positions 523 to 796 of the family's 1533-position model. The record is from RNAcentral.
AUACGGAGGGAGCAAGCGUUAUUCGGUAUCACUGGGCGUAAAGGACGCGUAGGCGGGUUUGUAAGUCAGGUGUGAAAUCCUACAGCUCAACUGUAGAACUGCACUUGAAACUACAGACCUAGAGUAUGGAAGGGGCAGAUGGAAUUAGUGGUGUAGGGGUAAAAUCCGUAGAUAUCACUAGGAAUACCGAAAGCGAAGGCGAUCUGCUGGGACAUUACUGACGCUGAGGCGUGAAAGCGUGGGGAGCAAACAGGAUUAGAAACCCUUGUAGUCC